UGCUGAGGACCAGACGCUGUGUCGCUGAGCCUCACUGCUCUUAAUUAUUCUAAUAUAUUCAUAAAAACAUCAUCAAAAUCAGUUACAUCACUACAGCAACAUGAGUCAGAGCAAUGAAUCUAAAUGAAUCAGUGCAAGGAAUGAAAAUGAAUCGAUUCGCUGAAUUUAUCAUGAAACAAAAUGAAUUAAAAUCAAAGUGAAUCAAUGCAGUGAUCCAAAUUGAAUUGAAUGAUUUAAGAUACAGAAAUACACCGAAUCAAAAUGAGUCAAAUCAAUUAAUAUGUGUCAAAGCAGUGAGUCAAAAUAAAUUCAUUUAAACUGAAAGUGAAUCGAUGCAUUGAUACAACGUUAGUCAAAAGUGAAUCAAAAUAAAUGAAUGCAAUGGUUUUAAUACAAUGAGACAAAAUGAGUCAAAGCAUCGAAUCAAACUGAAUCAGUACAAUGAGUCAAAGUGAGUCAGGGCAGUCAAUGAAUCAAAAUUAAUUCAUGCAAUGAAUUAAAGCAAGUCGAGACAAUGAAUCAAAAUGAGUCCAUGCAAUGAAGUAAAAUACAUAUAAGCAAUGAAUCGAUAUGAAUCAGUGCAACGACUUAAAAUAAAUUCAAACAAUGAUUUAAAUGAGUAGUAAAUGAAUCGAAAUUAGUCAGUGCACGGACUUAAAACGAGACAGAGCAACAAAUCAAAAUGAAUCAGUUCAAUGAAUUAAAAAUUAUUCAGUGCAAUGAAUCAAAAAUAGUAAAUGUGAUGAAUCAAAAAGAGUCAAAGCAAUUAAUCAAAAUUAAUCAAAAGAUUAUUCCAUAUAGUGAAUCAAAGUAGUAAAUGUACUGAAUCAAAAUGAGUCAAGACAAUAACAAAUUAAUGCACUGAUUUAAAGGACACAUGCACUGAAUCAAAGUGAGUCAAAACAAUGAAUCUAAUUAAGUCAAAGCAGUGAAUCAAAAUGAAUCAAAGUAAUGAAUGAAUAUUAAUCAAUGAACUGAAUCAAAACACAGGCUAAUCUACAUACAGUAUACAUGAAAGAGAUAAACAUUUCCAGCUUAAAUCCACAAUAAAUAAAUACGUUCCAUCUGGAGCAAUUCCAGGUUUGACGUGACAUUUACAGUCAACACUUGAAAUAUAAAUUCUCAGAGGAUGUAUUUAUUAUCAGUGUAUUGAACCAUCUUUUAUAUUUUCCUAACCCAGUCCAACAUUAGAACAAUAUCAGUCUAUACACGUUUUCUAUUUUAUAAACAUACAUAACAUACAUACAUGACAAAAAAGGGGACGCGAGUAUUUGGGAGACAACAUGCAUACCCAUUAACAUUUCUUUUUUUACACUAGUAAAGGGGUUGAAUCUGAAACGCUAACAUCCUCUCACGCUGAGCAGGAAGACAAGGCGUGUAAAUGUCUAUACGAGUUCCAGUUUACAUGAACACGAUAUGAGCAGAGCGUAUGUACAGCUAACGAUCUCUGCAUGGCUCUGUAGCAGUUAAACCCAUACAGUGAUAGCAUAGCUAGCGACACUAAACUAGCCUAGUCUCGUGUAAGAUAGCCAGAAAGUUCAAUCAUAAAAUCCAACUUUUUUGUCUAAUUUUCUAAUUUUUUAAGCAAUUAGCCCUCACCUCCAAG
Molecule: long non-coding RNA, 1606 nt
Organism: Ictalurus punctatus (channel catfish)
Lineage: Eukaryota; Metazoa; Chordata; Actinopteri; Siluriformes; Ictaluridae
Source: Ensembl